RNAcentral lists this unclassified non-coding RNA (395 nucleotides) under soil metagenome. RNAcentral's name for it is "partial contains 5.8S ribosomal RNA, internal transcribed spacer 2, and large subunit ribosomal RNA". The stretch from base 1 to 120 matches the Rfam family "5.8S ribosomal RNA", at positions 35 to 154 of the family's 154-position model. The record is from RNAcentral.
GAUGAAGAACGCAGCGAAAUGCGAUAAGUAAUGUGAAUUGCAGAAUUCAGUGAAUCAUCGAAUCUUUGAACGCACCUUGCGCCUUUUGGUAUUCCGAAAGGCACACCUGUUUGAGCGUCAUGAAUACCUCAAUCUCCAUCUUUUCUUCGGAUUGAUGGGUGACUUGGAUGUUGAGCCCUGCUGGUAUGCUAUAUCAGCUGGCUUUAAACUUAUUAGCCGGCUCUGUACUGGAUCGGUUUGACUCGACGUGAUAAUAUUAUCGUUGAGGAUGCAUGUCUCAUGCAGCCGGAAAGUAUCAAAGCAGCUACUAGCUUGCCUUUAGUGCACUUUUACAUUUUAGACCUCAGAUCAGGUGGGACUACCCGCUGAACUUAAGCAUAUCAAUAAGCGGAGGA